AUACGUAUCAUACUAUUACACACAUAUAUACGAGCUGAAAAGAAAAACAACAUCACAUCCCAACAAGCCUGUCACGCACUGUGAUCAUAACCACUUUACCUACGCCUCCUUCCAUUUCACCAGUACCGACACACACACACACACACACAGCGAGAAUCAACGACAACAAUACUAAAUAAAGGGAGAAGGAAAAAACACUGUAACGCUUGUCGACUCUUCCCCUCCCCCCCGAAGAAAAAGAAAAGGAAAGAAAAAGGAAUCUACACGAGGAAGCGCGCACAGCGCGCACGUGCACUUAUUGCCUGGCGCACAUUCUACCUCGAGCACACACAUUCCCGUGCACACACACACACACAUAUAUAUACAUCUUCCUUUUCGCUACACCUCUCUCGCUUGUUUGGCUUGACUACGCACACAGAUCUCCAUAUAUUGCGCCUGUUUUUAUUUCACCCGUUUUCUCGGCUUCACUAUCGCCGCACUUUUCGAGGCCACGACCAUCAUCAUCAACCCCCACCCCCGAGCUCCGCCUUGUCCAUCGACUCUCUUGUUUCUCGUCUUUGUUUGACCUUUAUCUGUCUCACCACCCCGGACCACGCCGCAUCGUGUUCCGUUAUAUAUUUAUUUCCCCUUUUCGCUGUUCUUGUGGCUUUGCUGUUGUGCUUCGCGGCGCAUCGUUUCGCGUUCGCUCUCUCUUUCCUGUUUGCUCUGUCAAGCAAAGAACAGGCUCAGGGCACGUCAUCGCCGUGGCAAGGGCGCACGUGAUCAGAGCAGCCAGCGCACUAUGACUGCAGAGGGUAAAAGUUGAGGAAGCAACAUCGCAUUUCUCUCCCCCCCUCUCCCUCCCCCACACCUGCUCUGGUACGGAUAGGCGGCAUAGCUCCACCGUCGCUGUCACCUCAUUCCGCAUCUCUCCCGUUUCGCCGCUUCUGUCAGAGUGUACUCUUUUUCUUUCCUUCCCGCGAUCGCCCCACAUAGAACGAUCGGGCUCUGAAGUUGACGAGCAAAGUUCGUGACGAGACGGGACGGGAACAGGUCCAGUUCUGCGCCACUCCUCUGCCACCGUCUUCUCUUUUUUCUUUUAAUUGAGUGGCUUGCCUUCUCUUUGUUUCUGCUUCCUGACCAUUUCGUGCGCGGCAGCACAUCUCCAACACACACACACAUACACACAAAUACCCCUUCAUCAUUGUCACGUCGUCGUUACAACGUGUGUCUGCGUGUGUGUGUGUGUGUCUUCGUCAGUCGACGUGCGCUUCCCCAGCGAAGAGCAAGCACGAACUUCAAAGGAAGCGAAGCUUAGAAAGGAAAGGCCUCCAAUUCGCUGCACAAAUAAUGAAAACCGUACACGACCUCAAUCAGUACGGGCUUGACUUCCUUGAGCUAAAGGCUUUGAGCGUUCCGUCAUCGCUGCGCUUCUUGCUCGGCAUCGAGUAUGAUGUGGUGCUUUGCGUGAACGAGGUGGGCACUCGCCGUCCAUUCCGCCUCCACUUUCCCGUCUUCGCGCCGACGCUCCGCAAGCUGCUGUCACUCUGUGCCAAGCGGUUUGGACUGGACUGCGAGCACGGCGAGGCGGAGUCUGUCCUGACAGGCACCGCCUUGAUGCCGCUGUUGCGGUACGCCGAUUAUCUGCCCGGGGCUCUUCACGUUAAGGAGAUUCUGGAAUGCCUACAGGUGGAGCCGGCUGCGAAGGCAAGGAAGUGGAUGAGCCCCGCCGCCUCUCCUGCUUUGCCCUCUGCGUCUGUGGGUUCCGACGCGACAACUGACAACGCUGCCGCUACCGCUGGGACCAGUAACGAGUUUGAGGCAAGCUUCAUCGACUACUCCGAGUUUUCGUCCGACAGCUCGCUCGACGACGUGCACGGAUUGGGCUUUUAUCUGCUGCUCGAUUACGGCUUAAGUCUCGCCACCCACAGCCACCUCGUCGGCAUUCGCUUUCACAAGGACUGGGACCCGGCGGAGGCGCUGCGUGAGUUUCAGGAGUUCAGUGGCUGGUCCGAGUUCGACCUGCGCUACCACGAUGAGCAGCGGCCGCAAGACGGCGGUGUCAUCAUUAUGCCGUCCUCCCAAGAUGCCUGCGACCUGCUGGAGAAGUACGAGGACGAGGACUCGGACGACGAAGGCGAUCUGCUCCCAUUCAUCCUCCGUCCUGUCUCCCCACUCGUUCCCGUGCCCUCGCUCGAGGACGCCACCCUACGCAAGUUACGCGACCAGCACUGGGACGAUGUGAAGAAGCAUUGGACGCACCUGCCGCAGACUCUGAACACCGUCGUUGUGUACAACCUGUACGAAGGGGCGACUUUAGCAGAGGUGCUAUCCUUCUUCGAGCCGCUUCCGAUUGUCUCGUCGGCGUUUGUUGAGGAUAAGGCGCCAUCUCACCGUCGACGCGCCUUCAUCACGUUCGCGAACCUUGAGGCGACGCGCAAGGCGCUAGAUGUGGACGGCAAGAACACUCGUGGAUGUACGUUGCGAGUGCAGGUGUCGCCUCCGUACAUCUCUCCCAGCCGCCGCGGCAAUCCAGUGAAAACGGAGCGCGACUGCGAUGGCGCAGGUGACAGCUUCGCAAAGACGGGGAGCGGCGGUGCUGCCGCAAGCACGGCGGCUCACAACUCUUGCAUGAGCUCUUCGCCGACCUCUAGCCCUUCUCUCCUUACUAUCGACAACACCACAACAGCGCUGCAUGGGAAGGCCAAACCUGCUGGCAACGGAAAUGGGGGCGCUGCUUGUGAAACCACCUCUGUCGCCGCCGCCCACGUAGGUGCUGCGUCGAUUCCAACCGGCAAAUCCGAGACCAGCAUGGUGCGGCCGGUCUCCACUUCUCCUACGCCAGCCUAUGUGGUUCAGACAGGGUCAACGCUAUCUGGUGCUGCUGCUGCCGUUCCGAAUGCCAGCUCCUUCGGUGGCUUUGUCGAUCGAGCCGCAGCGGUGGCGGGGGCGAUUGCAGCGAGAGCUCAUGCCAUUGCAGCCGCCUCCGCAGCUCCAAUUUCGCCACCGAAAGCGAUGGGCGGCGGAGCUGCGCCUGCCGCGUCAGGAGCUGAAAAAGACAAGCGGAUCGACGUCAUGUCCUCGCCGAGUGGCUCGCACAUGAACGCCGCUGCAAAGGAGUUUGUCCCUCAUUUUCAGCUCAUCGCCAAUUCCCCCGAGUACCGCCCGACACCGCCGCCGAAAAUCGAGGCUUUGUACGGCGACUACGCUGGUCUGCCGAGCCUCCGUGACGGCGUCGGGCUUCCACCGCCGCCACCGCCACCACCGCCGCCGCCGUCCUACGUGGAGGCGCUCAGCCCUGCACCAGAGUACCGCCCCGCCCCGCGCUCCUCACGUCUCUCGCACGUUGGUGCCUCGCCGAGCUUGCCGCCUUACGCGUUGCCUCCUCCGUACGUUGCAGGUGGGGAUGACGUAGGUGACAUGUUUCCGCCCCCACCACUGCCGCCGCCGUACUUGGGCGACUGACUGACGACGGCUCUCUCAUUCCACGUCGACCCUGUUGUUGAUUUAUUCAUAUCUGCGCCUGUGCCUGUGCGCGUGUGUGUCGUCCUUGUCGCCCCCCUCACCCAAAAGCAACAACAAGAGCAACAAAAACCAGACACACAAACACGCAGGCAGGAAGAGAAAGAGGGAGCAUCGUUCCCGCUCCUGCCCCUCUCUCCUUUCCCCCUGAUUCGUCCAUGCCAAUAUUCUGAUGAGGAGAUGCACACGAAGAGACAUCAGGCACGCAAGCAAACGACAACCCAUUUUUUUUAUGUGGUGGUGUUGGUGGUGGUGGGAGGGGGCGUCGUGUCAACGUAACGGGAGAGAGACGAAAAAAAAUGUAAAGCAUCGGUGUAUGUUUUUUUUUUUGUGGGUGCUCUGCAUCGCUUCUUCUUCCACUCGGUUUUUGUUUUUAUUUUGUUUCUUCUUGCUUCUGUUGUUGUUUGUUGUAGAUGUCCUGUUGCUUCUCAGGGUUUGUGUGCGUGUGUGUGUUUCAUCGACUUGCUCAUGCUCGUCUUGGUUGCUCCCGUGUUUUCUUUUCCUUCUCACUCCUGUUUUCGCCGUGAGAGGCAGGACGAGAGAAAAUAAAAGGAAGCCAACGACACGCACCAUCAAGCACAGGUGCUUGCUUGCCUCUAUGCAAGGGGCGGCUGCGCUUUCGAAGUGUGCGGUGAUGUCAGGUGAUAAUGUCGGCUUUUUUUUUCACGCUUCUUCCGUGGAUGCGGACCGCCACCGAUCCAAAACGGUGUGAUACCUGCAGGCCUGAAGAUGCGCACAGACACCCACGGACGCGGGUGUCUGUGCGUCAGCCUCCAUGUACUACUUCAGCUCCGUCUUGGGCGGAGAAAACAGAAAAAACAGCAGCAUAAGCAGCGCGACCGAAGGACCGCAGUAAAAGAUCCGCACACAGGUGCACACACAUACAUGAAAGGAGGAACAAGAAUAACACGAAGCAACAACGGAAAGCAAACAAAAAAAAGCAUC
Molecule: unclassified non-coding RNA, 4446 nt
Filed under: Leishmania donovani
Lineage: Eukaryota; Euglenozoa; Kinetoplastea; Trypanosomatida; Trypanosomatidae
Description: gene:LdHU3.35.4270(CDS-product:RNA-binding_protei n_putative)
Source: RNAcentral